Tympanuchus pallidicinctus (lesser prairie-chicken) is the source of this 6659-nucleotide long non-coding RNA. RefSeq lists it as uncharacterized. The transcript has 3 exons. The record is from RefSeq and is a predicted model, not a curated record. NCBI's taxonomy places the organism in Eukaryota, Metazoa, Chordata, Aves, Galliformes, Phasianidae.
UUUAAUUUUCAGAUGUCUUUUUCCAUCUCCCUUUUCAUGAAUAUUUUUUUCUACAUUACAGAAUCACAGAAUGACCAGGGUUGGAAGGGACCUCAAGGAUCAUGAAUCUCCAACCCCCUGCCACAUGCAGGGCCACCAACCUCCACAUUUAACACCAGACCAGGCUGCCCAGGGCCCCAUCCAACCUGGCCUUGAACACCUCCAGGGACAGAGCAUCCACAGCUCCCUGGGCAGCUGUUCCAGCACCUCACCACUUUCUCUGUAAAGAACUUCUCCAUUGUUUAAGGAAAAACAGCAUCGAGCUAUUUACACAUUGUAAGUUCUUAGAUCUUUUCCAAGAUGCAGAUUUAUAGGACAGAACCACCUACUCUUUAGAUUUGCCCUCACAGCUGUAUUCCAAUCCUUAUGUAUUUGGUUUUAUUUAUUUUUAUUUAUAUAAACUUUGUUCUGUAUAAAAAGAUAAAGCUUUCCAAGAAAUCCUGACACCUUUGUGUGAUACUGCAAGUGCUGCUGCAUUCUUCUGACUUCUGCACCAACCAUCCUUCUUGUCCCUCUUGAUAUCAGAUGAUCCUCUGAAUUUAUGAACUGAGAAAUACUGGCAACAAUCAGAGUGCUUUCCUAGAGAAUAUUUCUUUCUUUUUUUUUGUGAGCUUACAAGUUGAGCUGACAGAGGUCAACUGAAUGCACUGCAGUUGCCCUUUUAAAAUAUUUGGCACCAUCACAUACUAUGUUUUUACUAAAACUUUUCAUUAAGAAAAUGAUACAGCAUAGUAAGAAGAUUAUAAACUAUGUGUCUAAUCUCAAAAAGUAAGUAAAUCUUUUCAAUUAGGAGUUAUUAGCUAAUUUUUGGGCUUUGUAUACCUUUGCCCAAGACUUAUAAAUAUAUUUACAAUAGAGUUACAGAGCAAUCAUUAGUUGAGAAGAAAAUAAAAAAUAUUGGUGAAAAAUAUCCAGAUGAUAGAGUGAUUGUUGGCAUGGUGAUAACCUAGACAUAUCAUUUAUGUAGCAUGGCCUUACUCAGUAUUUGGAACAUAAUAAAAGAAAAUCUGUGAUUUUAGUGUUGAAGUACGUACAUCAUGCUGACAAGACAAUGGACUGGAUCCUGGAGAAGAUGGAUUCCUGAAAACUGGAGGGAAUUCAUGAAGCCAUUAGUGAAUCUGUAGGUAAUACAAGUGUUUCAAGUGAGACUCAGAAAUUACGUAGGUGUCCAAAUCCAAAACUGUGAUUCUGACUGCCCUCCUCAGCAUUUGGGUAAAGAGCAUUUUUGUGUCUUCUAAAGUUGUUUACUAUUUUACUUUAAACCUCGCUGUCCUGAGGUGAGAACAGGAGAAUGACUAUUGGGCAAAGCAUCACCCGGGCCUGUAUCCCACCAGUGCUGGCCAACAGCAAACGCCUGAGAGAGCAGGACAAGUGGUGAUAUUUCCCAAAAAACACCUUGCUAUGACUAUGGACCUUCCUAAACUGAAGGAGUGAUUUUGUGCCAAAUGACCUGUAUGGGAUUCUUCUGCCACACUUGUGUCUGCUGGCCCUUGGGAACGCCUGGUACCCACCUCAUCCUCUGACCAACCACAGCUUAAUAACCUGCUGCACAAAUAAUGACCUUCUCAUACCCUGCUGUCUGCUCGUGCACACCCCUGCCAUGGGUUACCACUCAUCACUGACCUCAACCUGGACAUGCAACAUUGACCGCAACCCUCUGGCUACAACCACCCAACCAAUUCUUUGUCUGCCUUGCACAAGUCCAGACAGACGACAUCAGCUGCCCUGCCUUUGUCCACCAAUGCCAUCACUCCAUCAUAGAAGGCGUGUCAGAAGUGGGAACAUCUAACAUCAGCAGGAUGGGGCUUUUCACAACAUCUCUAAGCGAUUCCUUUUGCAAUGUGUCUGAUAAAGGAAGUAGCAGUUGUGCAACAUCUUGCUGAUUGAUGAGCAGAGCAGAGCAGAACAUGGAACAUAUCACAUGGGGUGUUGCCUUUCUGUAUCUUGUUUUAUGAUAAGGAACAAUCUGCGUAGUCCAACAGAAAGCCAAACGUGCUUAUCUUUGGGGUGAUGCUCAAGGCUGUGCAUCUUGAAUCAGGUCCUGUGUCAGGUUCUGGAUCUUGCUGCACAGAUAGCUAUGUAUUCACACAGAAAAUGCACAGAGUACAAUUAAUUUUCUUUUUUUAUUUACUCAUAUCAUUAUCAAAGUACCUCAGAACCUCUGUCAAAAACACAGACUUUGUAGUUCUUGCUGCUGCAUAUACAGAGAUGAUGUAAUUUGCCAGCAGCUUGUGGUUUCAGAUUAAGAAGAACUGAUACGCAGAUGAGCAAAUACAAAGAAACAGCUUUAGCAAAUGCCUAGGUAAAACAGAGCCAGAGACUACUUACAACUACUUACAAAUGCUGCCCUCCUCCCCAUGCAGAAGAACCCUCCACUCCACUUCAUUUGCAGAGCCAGCUGAAGUUGCUAAGAAACAAUGCUCUUACCCAGCAUGUGCCUUGCUCAGAGCACCAUCAGUGAGGACAAGGUGAUGACAGCUUUGACAUGCAAUAUUCGCAGCUGUGGUGCAGAAGGAAUGCAGUGUUGACACCCAAGAGAGCUCGUGGCUCACCAUGCUGGGAUGAAUCCUGGCCUGCCCACAGACCUGAAGCACAAGGGAAGAUGCUGUGCUCCCUUCUGCUUUCUUAUUCCAUGCUGCUGCAAUGGCCACAUCUCCCACUUGUAAUGCUAAGACCUUCCCUUAAGGGUAGCACAAAACAACAAGUUCCUCUACAUUCACUUCCAUUCCCUUCUUGCCUUUCCAUUCCUCCGCUUCUCCAAAGAAAACUGCAAGUCUUCGCUUCUUCCUGAGACAUCAGUCACCCCAUGGUGACUGAUCAUUAGGUGACCUCAUCAUUAGGCUUUGUUUUCAAUCCGUGCUGCCUCUGAUCCAAGGCUGUAAGUUGAUGUUAGACACCUGGAACUAUGGUCAAGCAAAGAGCCUGGAGCUGCCAACCAAAAACAAUGAAUUUCAUUAUGGCGUGUGACCACUUACUGAUGGUCCCCUCCAGCAAAGUCCUGUAUUUUUUUUUCUUUCCCACCUGUAUUUUGGGUUGAUCCUAAUACUAUCCUGAAGCCCCAGACCAAUAGGCAUUUGUCCUGGAAAUGUCAGUGUUCAGCAUCUUUGCUCUCUGUGAUAACUGUGACCUGUGCAUAGCUCUGAAGUCAGAUCUCCUCCCAUAGGAUGUAGAGAAUGGACACACUUCAUUCUUUGACAGGGUACCCAAUGGUGGCAAUCCCAUAAAUCCUUCCUUCAUCCUCCAGGAAGGGACUCUACAGCCAAAUGAAAAACCUGCGGUGAGGUGUCACAUAUGGGCGUUUCCAUGGGAGUCAUAGCUCCUGUUUCUGUCAAUAGAUUCAAUCAACAGAGCAAUGUGUGUGCUGGCUUGCUUCAGAGUGGACUGCAAUGCUCCCCAGAGCCCACUGACUCCAGACAGUGCUGACAUGUAAGUCUAGGUGUCUUAAUUUGCAGUGUGAAUCAUAUCCACAGCAGCACUUCUGCUGUGAUCUUCUGGCUGUAGUUAUUCAUCCUCGCCCACCUGCUAGAUAAAACAGCAGUGUUUUUGUAGAUUUAAAUAUAUGCUGGUAGAUUUUCAGUUGUUUAUUUUAAAUAAUACAUUACAUCCAGAUCUGGAGCGAUUCUAAGCUAGCAAGUAUCCCUCUAAAUCAAGUGGCACUUCCUGGAUAUCUUUAAACACCCAGAAGUGCCAGGCCAUGACAGAAGAUAAAGAUAAGCCACAAACUUUUUCUGGUGAGCUGCAGCACUAUGGUCUCCAGCAGCUGAGCUUACCAUGGGCUGACCCCUUUCUCAUCAUGAUUUGCUCUUGUGCUUGUUCUUCAUUAACAUCUUUUGUAAACCUUUUGAUUUGUUGAAAGCGGUCAUUUGUUUUCAGGCUGGGAGCACUGCUAGAUGUGGCCAAUAGUGGAGCAGUGCUUCAGAGCUCUUCUAACUUGCAAAGUCCUGAUGAUGGAUGUAAUCAGCAGCACCCCAUGAGAUUGUAGGUGUACUCAGGUGCCUUCCAUCCACCUGAAAGGAACAGCUGGAAUGAAGGGGCUAUUUUAAAUUAGCCCUUCCAGUGCUCUUUGUUCAUCUUUCAGUUGUGCUGUUCAGCACAGGGCAUGGCCAGUGAGCAGGGUAGGUGGCUGGACCAGACAGCUGGUGUAAUACUGUAUCUUUCAUGGACUGACAGUAUUUUCACAGCCUUGCUGAAGACGGAGGGAGAUAGUUCGUCAUUUCUGUGACUUCUUCUGGAGCUGAUGAGGAGAUUAACCUGUAACAAAGCUUUGUUUUGAUGGACCAAUACUGUGGUUAAAUAAAUCUAUUGCAAGUUGCUUGGGCUGAUGAAGUUGCCUUGUGAUUAGAUUAACUGCUGAUUAGAUUUUGAUGGGACCUGGAAAGAGUGUGAGUUGUAGGGUGCAUUUUAAAAACACUGUGCAAGGAAUUAAUUCUCUGUUCUCACUCUUCUAUUCUGUUCUAUCCUAGCCCUUAAUUCUCUAUUCUUUGCUUUAAAAACCUGCCCUAAUGACUGCACAGUGAAUUGAUUAACAGGCUAACGCUUAUUUUUAUUCACAUAAAGAGUAGUACUGUGUUGGUUUUCUCAACAUGGAGGAGACAACCGCACCCUUGUAGGGUGUGUGUACAAGUCUUAAGGCAUGCUUUACCUGCCAGGUGAGCCUGCAAUCCUCAUCUGACCGAUAACAGCAUCAGCAGAACCAGUGAAAAGAGACAAAAUGGCCAAAGUACGAAGAAAUGAUGGGCACAAACAUUCAGCAGCUCUGCGGUCUUGUGCGGGAGGAAAUCUUACAGAGGGCUGAAGCUGUGUGAGUGACAUAUACAUGACACAAGCAGUCUUAAAAUCAGUUUUUCUGGUCCAGAAGAGCAGAGUGGCUGGGUUUGCUCUCAGGAAGUGUUGCUGCACUGUAGAAGUGGUUUCACAUAGAUGCAUGGGAGGAUGGACCUUGGGGAACACAGAAGCAGAGGCCAGCUGCAGCACUGAAAUCUGAUGCAGCAGUUAAUAAACCAGUAACUUUCUCCACCAGUGACUAGAACACCAAGAUGGAGAUAGGGCCAAGGCAGAGUUUUCCUACCCUCAAUCCCACACCCUCUUCUGUUUCCCCUGCCUACAUCAAAGGGAGCAAAACUUGGUGGUUUCUCUCUAGCUCAGCCUGGCUCCAUCCCUUGCAGCCUUGGCUGCAUCCCAGCAGGACGUGCAUUGCACUGGCUGCAUAAGAACCAGAGGCUGGAUGGAAGGCACGAGCUAUUCACUUUCACCAAAUGAUGAAUGGUGGCUGUCACUGCCUCCAUCGAUAGCAGCUCUCUGUAGCUGUCAGACAUGCACCAUUUUGUAAACCUGAUCGUGUUUACAUUAGCAGUGUUUUAUGAGCCUCAUCACGUUGCAAUGUAAAUAUUUCUGCAGCAGCUGCUCCCUGAGGAGUGACGUGGUGGGGUGGUGUUGAACAAACACCAGCCACAGACUUCAGUACAUGCAUAUCCUCCAGGAAGGAGCCAGAAAACACAAGUGCACCAGGAAUUAGAUGAAGAAGCUUGAAGUCUUUGCACGUCACUUAGAAAAGGAGGCUGGCCAUCUGGCUACGAGAUUUUGUCUGAGAUGCUUCACUUGCAUGUUGAUCAUGAAGCACUGAGCUUGUGUCACCUGCUGUACAGCAAAAGGGAGAAGAAAGCCUGGCUGAUGCCCUCUUCUAGUACAGCUUCGCCAAUCUUCAGAGCAAGAUGGGAAUGAAAAUAGAGAAAACCCCAAGGACAACCCUGGGGGGUUGAUUUGGUGCUGACCUAAUGGUGCUGAACACAAGUGCUGAUGAAAGAGGUGCUGGAUCCAAAUAAACCAUUGGUGAAAUGUAAAGGAUGUGUGAGCACCCAGUACUUCAUCACUGUUAGCACUGCAGUAUGGAGGUGUGAGUGAAGGCCCACAGCCUUCUACUGAGCUAUGAACAGAGUUGAAAACAGGGACUCAACCUCCAGCUGCUGCAGUUGGGACUUUCUGCCAGGAAAAGUCAGUGUGACUGUGGAUGAGCCACUGAAUGAAAGGCAGUUUUGGUGUUUGCGUGCUUGUUCAGAUACUCACUGCCAUAUAUGCUCAGCAGAAUUUUGAACUUUGAGUUCCUAAGUGGCAUGUGAAACCUUCCCAAGCACAUUAAUUUAUUCACAUACCUUUUCUGAGUUUAUUAGAGGAAUUAAAGAGAAAGAUGAUACCAUGGCCAGAAGGACCAAAGGGAAGGAUGAAGCAGCUGAUAAUCCCAUCAGGAGCAUAUUAGACAUAUUUCAUUAACGGUCAGAUAAUUAAAGCGGAAGAUGUGAGACACAAAUUCAGUCCAUGUUUGAUCAGAAGCUAUGAAUUUUGCUCUUUGAUCCUGAUAAAAGGUAAAGAAAAACAGUUUAAGAAAAGAAUGGAGGAAUAUCCCUAUUAACAUCAAAUAUGAGACCCCUGUUAUGGUAAGGAAAGGAAAUGUAGAUGGCAAAGAUCAAAGGUGUAUUCUGUAGAAACAAAUGCUGUGUUACAUAAACUUUGCUUUUUCAAAGUGGUGAUUUCAGUUUUGCAGAAUCCUUUUGAGAAACACACCAGAAAGUUUGGAAUUUUUGUGGGCUAGAAACUGGUAGGAAUUGAAAAUAAAAAUGCAAGAA